Molecule: ribosomal RNA, 253 nt
Filed under: uncultured bacterium
Lineage: Bacteria
Description: partial 16S ribosomal RNA
Rfam family: Bacterial small subunit ribosomal RNA
Source: RNAcentral
GACAGAGGGUGCAAACGUUGUUCGGAAUUACUGGGCGUAAAGCGCGUGUAGGCUGCCUUGCAAGUCGGGUGUGAAAGCCCUGGGCUCAACCUAGGAAGUGCACUCGAAACUGGCGGGCUUGAAUAUGGAAGAGGGUCGCGGAAUUCCCGGUGUAGAGGUGAAAUUCGUAGAUAUCGGGAGGAACACCAGUGGCGAAGGCGGCGACCUGGGCCAAUAUUGACGCUGAGGUGCGAAAGCGUGGGGAGCAAACAGG